RNAcentral lists this ribosomal RNA (796 nucleotides) under uncultured Sphingobacteriales bacterium. RNAcentral describes it as "bacterial SSU rRNA". It matches the Rfam family "Bacterial small subunit ribosomal RNA", at positions 56 to 850 of the family's 1533-position model. The record is from RNAcentral. Lineage: Bacteria; Pseudomonadati; Bacteroidota; Sphingobacteriia; Sphingobacteriales.
UGCAAGUCGUGGGGCAGCAGGUGUAGCAAUACAUGCUGGCGACCGGCAAACGGGUGCGGAACACGUACGCAACCUUCCUUUAACUGGAGAAUAGCCCCUCGAAAGAGGGAUUAAUACUCCGUAACAUAUUGAUAAGGCAUCUUAUUAAUAUUAUAGCUCCGGCGGUUAAAGAUGGGCGUGCGCCUGAUUAGGUAGUUGGCGGGGUAACGGCCCACCAAGCCUUCGAUCAGUAACUGGUGUGAGAGCACGACCAGUCACACGGGCACUGAGACACGGGCCCGACUCCUACGGGAGGCAGCAGUAAGGAAUAUUGGUCAAUGGACGCAAGUCUGAACCAGCCAUGCCGCGUGGAGGAUUAAGGCCCUCUGGGUUGUAAACUCCUUUUAUCUGGGAAGAAAUGCUUUGAUUCUUCAAAGUUUGACGGUACCAGAGGAAUAAGCACCGGCUAACUCCGUGCCAGCAGCCGCGGUAAUACGGAGGGUGCAAGCGUUAUCCGGAUUCACUGGGUUUAAAGGGUGCGUAGGCGGGUAAGUAAGUCCGUGGUGAAAUCUCUGAGCUUAACUCAGAAACUGCCGUGGAUACUAUUUGCCUUGAAUAUUGUGGAGGUGAGCGGAAUAUGUCAUGUAGCGGUGAAAUGCUUAGAUAUGACAUAGAACACCAAUUGCGAAGGCAGUUCACUACACAAUUAUUGACGCUGAGGCACGAAAGCGUGGGGAUCAAACAGGAUUAGAUACCCUGGUAGUCCACGCCCUAAACGAUGAUUACUCGACAUCAGCGAUACACUGUUGGUGUCUGA